Haemorhous mexicanus (house finch) is the source of this 8210-nucleotide long non-coding RNA. RefSeq lists it as uncharacterized. The record is from RefSeq and is a predicted model, not a curated record. NCBI's taxonomy places the organism in Eukaryota, Metazoa, Chordata, Aves, Passeriformes, Fringillidae. The transcript is spliced from 8 exons.
GCCCAGCCGAAUGCGCACCCACCGCGCCGCCGCCCCAAGCGCUGCCUCCGCGGGGGGCGCUUCGCCGUCCUCACCUUUCCCGAGGGGCUCCGGGCUGGCGGGACCCGAGCGGCGCCGAUCCCGGAGCCGGCGAGAUUUGUGAUCUGGAAGAGGUGAAAAAUGGAUCACCUGAAAGCGCUCUCUACAUUAUUUUUGCUUGCUUUCCAGACUCAAAUACGUGCAGUGGCAGUGCAGUAGCAGAGAAAGUGAAGUUCUUAACAAGUGACCUUGAGAGGAUAAAAGAUCGUUUCUCAUCAUUGCUUCAAAUGUUUAUGCUCGGCGCGGCUCCAGUCGAAAGAGGAAUGGUACUGUGAGUCAAAAUGGAUGAAGUGCUGAGAAAAUGCCCAUGUGACUGAGACUGACAGUGCAGCUCAAUGGGAUGAGACCCACAGAGAAGCCUGUUUGACCAUACAGCUCUGUCAUCUUACAUGGCCUCAAGGAAGUUCUGGUGAUUAGCAUUAAGCAUGUGAAUAAACUCCACUGACUUCAAUGGAACCUCUUAAAUACUCAAGGUAACUGGGCUGAGACAGAACACACUGCAUGGAACAGUGUUGGUUUUCCAGUCUAACCCAAUCAAACGCAAGGAAAAAUGGAAGUGGCAACGGACUUGUCUGACCUCUGGUUAAAGGCUGAACUGCCUGACUUCCUUCAGUUGGUGGAAAGACUUCAUUUAAAGGGUCCCUUUGCCUUUUCCUGAGGAUGAUGUGAUUCUAUCUGUGCAUUCAGAAUUAUCCUGGCAAUGAUGAAAUACAAACCAAUGAGGAAAUAAUUUUGUUCAAUUUGAAAAAAGAACCCAGAGUUUUCAAACACAAGAAAGCUCCUACCAAUUUUCUGUGAAAACAGAUGGCUGUGGACAAGAGAAAGAUUGUGUAAGUGCCCUCCUGUCUCCUUCAGGAAAAAGGCUGUAGUGUAAGUUCCUAUGCUAUGACAAAAGCCUAUUCACACAGAAUUCCCCAGCCAUGAAGAAACAACACAUGCCCCAGCCACGAGGAGAGAUCGAGCAGAGCCCAAGCAGCCAUGAAACACAAACGUUUAGGAAACCAGGCCUUGCUGUUUCUGGCACUCAGGGAGCUCCUGGCUCAGACACUGCCUGACAGAUUCUGCAUGUUUUAAGAUGCAUCAUUUAAUAUAAAUAAUAACAGAAACACUGCAAAACAGGAAAGAUUUAAAGGAAGCUGUUUCAGCUGAAGAGAUGCCACUAGAUCAAACUUCUACUUUUGGCUGCCAGUUACAGGAAUAAAGUUGUCAGCAGCACAUCAGCUGUCGGGAUCAGGGCUCUGUGGUGAGAAUGCAGACACGAUGCCAGAGGCUGUUCUCAGUUUCAUCACUGUGCUUACAUGGAAGUCGGAGGGACCCACCUCCUUCAGUGGCAAGUUGCACCACCAGUGGCAACUACCCAGAUAUUUUUAUUCAUAAACUUCAGCAAACAUAAAAGAAAAUAAUCUUCCAAAGAACCAAGAUGUUUCAGAAACAUCAGUACGAUGGCUCCCAGCAAUACUCUAAGGAACCUCCAUCUGCUUAUGACAGAACAUUGUGCAGCAGAACAAACAGAAGCAACAAAUGGCAGGACAUGAUUCCUAUGAAAAAAUCUGGUUCCUACUUUUCUCCUGAAAAUGGCAGAGUAACAUCACAAAAACACCUUGGGCUUAUACUUAUUUUAAAGAGAGGAGAAUUUACCUGAGAGUUAUCUGGCUGAGUGGUCUUGUCUUCACAGUUUAAUAUCUGGCAAUUAUGUGUGGAUAUGACAGUUUUAAGCUUAACGCAAGUAGGCGGCAGCAACUGAGGUUUAACAGGAGGCUUUUCUUCUUUGCUUGACCUGAUGACACAUGCAAAAAGCUAAAAACUGCCAGGUCCACAGUAGGAUUUGAAGGAAUUAUGUGGGUGGAAUUUGAAUACAGGUUGCUCUGAACAGCUAUGGGUUGAGAAAGGCAGUAAAAGCACCAUAGAAGCAUGUAGAAGAGCUAGUGAAGAACAAUAAAGAGACGAAAGAUAUACUUGCAGUAACGCCUGGAGAAAAAGUAGAGUGAGCUUUUAGGUAGAAUACCAACUGAAGAAAGGCUUAGAAUACAAAAAAGGAGAAUGUUUCCCUUUCUGGUGAGCUGAGGAACAUGAGACAUAAUAUUGAUUCUGUAAAAAAUGUGCAGCAUCAAAAAUGCAUGAACUGAUCUUCACAUUCCUCUCCUAAAGAAAAUUAUCAAAACUCAGAUUACUGGUACUACAUUCUUGCAGUGUAAAAUAUUAUUUAAAACUUUUGGGAGCUACUAGUAAACUCUUUUUCUGGGGGUAACAUUCUUUUGAAGAUAAGACAAUGAGCAGACUAAGGUACAGAGGGCAGACCUGCAGCAACUUAGAUAUAGAUCAGUUUAAGUUGCUAUAAAAUUCACUCUUGGCCUUGGGAGUGCCAUAAUGUGGUACAGAGUGGUGCAGAACUAUUCUUAAAUGACAAGCCUUUGUUUAACUUCUGUCUAUGGGAAGGGCUUGUAGGAGAGCUCCUCCCUCCUAUAAUGGCUCUCACACAAAAUGAGGCAUAAAGAGCUUGAAGCAGAGAGCUCUGAGGCCAGUGGAUGUACUGGCUCUUCUGGCUCAGGAGGUGUAAACAGGCCAAGUGAGGUGGAGAUGCUGGAGCCAGCCACAGAACCAUGUCUGUAGCAAUGCAGCUGUCAUCCAGUCUGGUUUGGAGGUGUUCCAACCCUGUCUGAGAUCACUAUUGUGUCCCCCCAAGUAUUUACUAUCUAUAUUGCUAUAUCUAUACCUAAUUACAACAGGCAGUGCAGAAAAAAAGUCCUUUUCUGCAGGUAGAAGGCUCAAAGCCUUUAGAAGGAGAUGGCAACACAGUCUGCAUAUGCAAUUACAGAAUGCCAUUAUUGCAAAGUGAGGUCAGGCCCUUACUCAGGCAUUAGCACUGCCAUUUACUCACAAAAUGUCUCAUCAUAGUGUAGGGGUAUUUUCAACCAAGGACAGAGGCUAUCCUGGAGCUACAGAUUAAAAUCUAAGAGAAUUCACUCAGAGUGAUGAUCAGUUUUCUGUGAAGUUUUUUAAAGAGCUUAAAGUACUCCUUUUUUCCCCUCUGCAGUUAUCAGUGCUCAGAGGGUCAGACAAACGCCUCCACAGUGCAGUGGAAAUAACUGGAGUUAUGUAACUCCAGUGGAAUGGAGUGGUUCUGAUUACUGUACUACUAAGAACAAGGUAGGUGCCAGAGGAAAUGUGCUCUAGCAUGGCUGCUGAAUGGCUGAGAGGAAACAGCCUCAAGUUGUGCCAGGGGAGGUUUAGAUUGGAUGUGAGAAAAAAUUUCUUCACUUUAAGGAUGGUCAGGCAUUGGAAUAAGAUGCCCAGGAAAGUGGUGGAAUCACUAUGCCUGGAAGUGUUCAAAGAGCAUGUGGAUGUGGUACUCAGGGAUGAGGUUUACUGGGGAACCCAGUGGUGCUGGGCUAAGAGUUGGAUUCAGGGAUCUUGGAGAUCUUUUCCAACCUUAGUGAUUCUGUGAUUCUACUACUGACUGCCAGAGCAAUAAGUCAGGUUUGGUUUUCCUAUGCAGAUGCCAUAGCUGGGUUUGGCUAAUGCAGGUUCUCAGACACAGGUGUCAUUAAUCACACUAAUGAGGAACAUGACCUUAGCAACCAAGAAAAUGUCUUCUCACUGCUGAGAAACUCAAGUUUCAGUUGAGACUUCUGCAAUGGAAAGUUGCCUGCCUGCAGUUUUUGACAAUGGUGUUUCAAAUUAUUACAGCUUUGGUGCAGAACUUAUAUCAAAUUUGAGCAUACUCUAGCCUUUUAUCAUUGAUUCUCCUUUCCAGUAGGAAAGCAAUCAAGCCACAGACACCUCUUUUCAUUUGUGAAGGGAAAGAAGAAAUAUAUGUUGUGCAAGUUCGUUUCAGUGCUUUUUUCAUUCUCCAAGGAGCAAUGCAGAACUAUCCCAGCCUGAGGCAGUUCAGACCUGUUUGAAGGAACAGCAGUUAAAAUCACAGGCCUGAGAUUAGGAAAGAUCCCGACGUCUGUGUGGGUGCCACUGCCCUCUCCUGGGCACAGCCCGCCAGGCCGGCAGCUGCUUCCCCCUCCUAGGCUGUGCAGUGAGAUAAUGGAAUAUGCAGUGUGUGUAUUUUUAGAAACUAAAGAGGUAAAUUCUGUCCUCUGCUCUAAAUAUAAAACUGAUCCUGCAUGCCCACCACCAGAUUUUUAAAUUCUUCAGCUUGGACCAACCAUAAUCCAACUGCAGGGCCCAAAGUAGAUCCCAGAAGGAAGCUGGUACUUGCAGAGCAGGGUGUCCUGGAGGAAGGAGCCACUCUGAUCCCCAGAUUUGAUGUGAACACAGACUUCAGCUAUGUGCAAUUACUAACUGGGAGGAGCAUCACUGCAGCAAUAGUAAACUCUUCCUUUACACAACUCUGUGUAAUGAUGCAAAAAAUUUAAAAUCUUGGUUUGAUUGCAACAACAUUUCUGUUGGUGGAACUAGAGGCUUCUAGCUACUAAAGGCUUCUAGCUACAAUGCCCAGAGCUGUAGACAAACACUACAAACCUCAGCAAACUUUUUCAGACAUCAAUAACUACACCAUGAGCUGGAAAGGGAGGGAGAGUGUAACAAUAAUAAAAAUCUAUACGUAUGCAGGGCAUGGAUAUGCCCCUGCUCCCUCUGAAGUCAGUCACUGCUCUGCUCUUGACUUUAGGGAGUCAAGGCUGACAUGAAGGUUCCAAACAGUUUAAAUUUGGAUUGCAAUAUAGGAAAACAGAAAGAAUGCCUGCUAUCCAACCUCAGACCCAGCAGUUAGUAACAAGAGAGGACAUUCAUAUUUUGCAUUUUAAAAGUAUUAGAAAAAAAUCACAGAAUCACAGAAUCGUUAGGGUUGGAGGGGAUCUCUGGAGAUCAUCCAGUCCUACCCCCCUGCCAAGGCAGGGUCACCCAGACCAGGUGACACAGGAAUGUGUCCAGCUGGGUUUUGAACAUCUCUGUGGACAGGGAGACUCCACAAACUCCCUGGGCAGCCUGUUCCAGUGCUCUGCCACCCUCAACAAGAAGUUAUUCCUCAUGCUGAGGUGAAAGUCCUUGUGUUUUAGUUUAAGGCCCUUGCUCCUCAUCCUGUCACUGGGCACCACUGAAAAGGGCCUGGAACUGUUCUCUUGGCACCACCCUUCAAGAUUUUUGAACGUAUGGAUGAGAUCUCCUCUCAGUCUGCUUUUCUCUAGACUAAACAGGCCCUGCUCUUGUGGGCUCCCCUCCCAGGAGAGAUGCUCCAGACCCCAUAUCAUCUCUGUGGCCUCCACUGGACCCUCUCCAGUAGCUCCUUGUCUCUCUUGUGCUGAGGAGUCCAGAACUGGGCACAGCAUUUCAGAUGUGGCUUCACCAGAGCUGAAUAGAGGGGGAGGAACACCUCCCUUGACUAGCUGGCCACACUCUUCCCCACACACCCAAGAUCCCCCUGGCCCUCCUGGCCCCCAGGCCCACUGCUGGUUCAUGGUCACCUUGUCAUCUACCAACAGUUCAAGUCCCUCUCUGCAGAGCUACUCCUUAGUAGGUCAGCCCCCAGCCCAUGCUGCUUCUUGGGUUACUCUUCCCCAGAUGCAGGACCCUACACUUUGUAUCAUCAGCAAACUUGCUGCAAAUCCCAAACAGAAUGAAAGUAACACAAGUGUCAUCAUUUUCAUGCUACAUCUCUUUACUCUCCCCUCUUGGUUUUCCCCCUCAGGGCAAUUCUGAGAACGGUUCUCCUGAGCAGAACCAGAAACAUUACUGUUCUCAGGAAAAUUAGGUUCAAUUUUUUAAAUAUUUACUAAUUCACAUACUAAUAUUUGCUAAUGUACAGGAGGGUAAAUGAAGGAUUCUCCUAAUGAACUGAAAUAUAUUUUCUCACAAAUUUGAUUUGUAAACAUGGCCCUAAGAGAUCACAGAUCAAGGAGCAAUGGAGAGUAGCACAAGAAAGAAGAAAAUGUAUUAACAAGGUUCUAUAGAGCCCUAUAAGAAAACAGACAGAAUGACCAAAUACAGAGUGUUUUAACCUCUACUCUGUGUGGCUGUCUGAAAAGAGAAAACAAAACCACACUGACUAUACUGAACCUCCAGCUCCCACAUGAUUGCAUACUUACUGGGCUGCUAUCUUAAUGUAUUUCUUUAACAGCUGAACACGCUUGCUGAGUUGAGAGCAAAGACAAAUCUCGGUGACCACCCAGAACUGAAUUUCAUUGAAUCUUCUUAAAAACAAGUCCAGGUUUGCUGUGGUCUUUUUAAAAUUGUGCCUUCCAAAAGUGUGAUAGAUCAAUUCCAGCUAGGAAAGAGAAAACAGUUUGGAAUUCUUUUUGAAGUUGCAUUUCUUCAAGGAAAGAGACUAAGACUGACCAGGUAAGUAUCUAGCCUGAAAUUUGCUCUGCAGUUUAGUUUACAUUUAUAGCUGCACAGAUGACAAAGACUCAGGUUACAAAUCCAGUAUACAAUAGCUGAGGCAUAGUAAAAGUGCCACUACAGAUUAUAUAUAAACAGCUUAAUACCACAAAACAAACAAAAGUAAUUCAACAAGCAGCACAUGUCCAGAGGAAGCCUAACUUUCAAAACUUGUAGGUGGCUUUAUUGUAGAAUUUUUGAAAAUCAAGCUUAGAGGUGGUUUUGGAAAUAAUGCACAAAGCUACAAUGUACAGUUAAACACUUUUUAAUAGAUUCUAACCUGCUGAAUAUAUAGAUCCUCAUACCUCAUGCACACAAUUGAAAAGCUCCCAGUCGUAAAUUGUCAUCUGAUGUGCUAAGUCUUUGGAACUCAUCAGUUCAAAUGUUCCUACUGUACCAGUAGAUGGUCCUUCUUGUUCUGGCAAUGGUGCCUACAAACAAGAAAAUAUUUGAAAAUAACUGAAAUUGUAGUAAAACUGAAAUUUGCUUUUAAACACAGGUAUUGGGGUAAUGAGUAAAACCAGUAUCCAGUAUGCACAGGAUAUUCAGGAAAAUUCUGAAAGCUCUUCAGAGACACUAUAAGAAAAUAAAUUAGACUGUUCUCAGUGUGUUAUUUUUAACAUUGUUCUAAAAUUUGAAUCUAUAAUACAUGUUGUGCUAACUAAAGCAUGUGUGUUUGUUUAGGAGCAUAGGUCUUUCCAAAAAACUUUUAUGUUUCCUUUUUCACAUACACAAAUAACUAGGCCACCAAGGACAAGCCAAAUACUUUUACAUAUUCCUGAUUCUAAUGAUGAGAAUUGCUACAUCUAGAAUGCUUCCGAAAUCUGCAGUGAUUGCAGGAUCCUCUGAUCACUUAUAAAAUAAACCUCGUACGUUCUCUGACAGUACACAAAUUUGAUGCACAAUUUGUGAUUGCAAAUUCCUGGCUAGGCUGUUUAAAAUGAAACACAGUCUUAUGAGAAAGAACCAAGUACAAACCAUUUCUGAAAGGCAUUUCCAUGCCACCCAAUAAAUGAGACGUGAUCUAUGAUUCUGCACACAGGUGAAGUAUUAAAGAGAGAUUUAAAACACGGCUUGAGAUCAAGUCAGAUGUGAAGUGGUCUGUUGUACCUAUCAGGGUGAAGUGUUUGAACCAGCGCUGCUAAGAUACUGCCCAGCAACCCCCCGGCAAACUGGAGGGUGAAACAGCCGCAGAGGCGCCGUGAACGCGCAGGUCACCGGUGCAGCUCCCAGGAGAGGGCGGCAGAGCUCACACACGAGCUUCCCAACUCUGAGCUCACCGCCUUUGUUAAACGCGGAAUGAUGGAGCACGGAAUUGUCAACAGGCUGCUUUCCCAGCACAAACUCAGUGGAGUCUGCCAGACUGACAGACCAUAUUUAGAUGCUGCAAUAUAAGAAAUGAGCCUACUAAAUGAAUCCUAUUUUAUAUAAGAGUAAUAUACUAGCAAGAGAAAUAAGUCUGACUGGAUUAAUGCAUCAAAACACUUUCUCAGUGGCACAUAGUGUGUAGGGGUUUUACUGUUGUAUGAAUUCUUGCUUUGUACUCUAGGGAAAACUUUCCUUUUAAUUAUCAUCAUCAUACAAACUAACUAAAAAAAACUUAACUAAAUCACAAACAUUAUCACCUUAAAAACUUCAUCUAUAAUUUAAAAAAAUAGUAGAAAAGUAUUCUCUAAAAAAUCCAGAGCAGCCAUUAAUAUUACAAAAACCUGCAGAUUGCUUUGAAUUGGGAUUUGCACAAACACAAAGUUUCUUUAGUUUAUGACAACAUAUGAAAUAAAAGUACGGUAGCUUUGUGUAGAAAA